This is a long non-coding RNA of Apodemus sylvaticus (European woodmouse), 292 nucleotides long. RefSeq lists it as uncharacterized. Lineage: Eukaryota; Metazoa; Chordata; Mammalia; Rodentia; Muridae. The transcript is spliced from 3 exons. The record is from RefSeq and is a predicted model, not a curated record.
CCAACCCAUACAGCAUUUCUUUCAAGUGUAGAACUACACACACAUUUUGCAUACCAAAUGAUGCUCCCUGAAUCCACAGCUGUGGUAUGUGCUCCCAAGUAUAAACAAAUUGGAAUUUUCAUACUGACACCUACUGGACUACAAGAAAUAUCCGAUUGUCCACGGAGAGGGUUCCACACCCACAGACAGGACACAGCUCUCUUUUGUGAUUGCAGUCAUGUCACCUCCUGGGACAUCAUGGUGACUGUCACAGAUUUGAGAUGAGUCAAAUCCCAAACACCUCAGUUGUGGG